Molecule: long non-coding RNA, 393 nt
Filed under: Nicotiana benthamiana
Lineage: Eukaryota; Viridiplantae; Streptophyta; Magnoliopsida; Solanales; Solanaceae
Description: long non-coding RNA (NBEN_LNC025073)
Source: RNAcentral
AAGGAUAAGGAGAAUCCAGCCAUUUGUGUUGCUAGAGACUCUUGAGAAGAGAGAAGAUUCUCAAACUCAACAAGAGAGGGUUGAUUAGCCCACCCCUGAAUAGAAGUGACAAAAGGAAUAUAUUCUUUGAUUAAUCCUCGAAUAAUAUUCCUUUUCAUUCGAGCCUCCGAAAUAGGUUCCUCCGGACCAAGAGCAAAAAUUUACGAACAAAUAUUUUUAAUUUUUAAGAAAAAUUCGAAGAUUGAGAGCUCACCUUGAGUAGUUCGUGCCAACUCAUUCUCUAAGUAUUGCAGUCGAGCAACGUUCUUCUUGUUAAGCAAUGCACUUAGAGUAUCCCAAAUCUGAGAUGCAGACUUACACUCAACAAUGUGAUCAAAUAGAUCGUGAGAGNNN